GGGNNUGCCUCAGUAACGGCGAGUGAAGCGGCANNAGCUCAAAUUUGAAAUCUGGUCCCCUCUGGGGGCCCGAGUUGUAAUUUGAAGAGGAUGCUUUUGGCGAGGCGCCGUCCGAGUUCCCUGGAACGGGACGCCGCAGAGGGUGAGAGCCCCGUACGGUCGGACGCCGAGCCUCUGUAAAGCUCCUUCGACGAGUCGAGUAGUUUGGGAAUGCUGCUCAAAAUGGGAGGUAAACCCCUUCUAAAGCUAAAUACCGGCCAGAGACCGAUAGCGCACAAGUAGAGUGAUCGAAAGAUGAAAAGCACUUUGAAAAGAGAGUUAAAAAGCACGUGAAAUUGUUAAAAGGGAAGCGCUUGCGACCAGACUUGCGCCCGUCGGAUCAACCGUCGCUUGCGGCGGCGCACUCCGGCGGGCUCAGGCCAGCAUCAGUUCGCUCGGGGGGAGAAAGGCGGCGGGAAUGUAGCUCCUCGGAGUGUUAUAGCCCGCCGUGUAAUACCCUCGGGUGGACUGAGGACCGCGCGUAUGCAAGGAUGCUGGCGUAAUGGUCGUCAGCGACCCGUCUUGAAACACGGACCAAGGAGUCGUCCUAAUAUGCGAGUGUACGGGUGUCAAACCCCUGCGCGUAAUGAAAGUGAACGGAGGUGAGAGCUUCGGCGCAUCAUCGACCGAUCCUGAUGUUAUCGGAUGGAUUUGAGUAAGAGCAUAUUGGGCCGGACCCGAAAGAAGGUGAACUAUGCCUGUGUAGGGUAAAGCCAGAGGAAACUCUGGUGGAGGCUCGCAGCGGUUCUGACGUGCAAAUCGAUCGUCAAACAUGGGCAUGGGGGCGAAAGACUAAUCGANCCUUCUAGUA
Molecule: ribosomal RNA, 850 nt
Filed under: Scopulariopsis fusca
Lineage: Eukaryota; Fungi; Ascomycota; Sordariomycetes; Microascales; Microascaceae
Description: LSU rRNA
Rfam family: Eukaryotic large subunit ribosomal RNA
Source: RNAcentral